RNAcentral lists this ribosomal RNA (497 nucleotides) under uncultured bacterium. Its description in RNAcentral is "partial 16S ribosomal RNA". It matches the Rfam family "Bacterial small subunit ribosomal RNA", at positions 28 to 507 of the family's 1533-position model. The record is from RNAcentral.
GACGAACGCUGGCGGCGUGCCUAAUACAUGCAAGUAGAACGCUGAAGAGAGGAGCUUACUCUUCUUGGAUGAGUUGCGAACGGGUGAGUAACGCGUAGGUAACCUGCCUUGUAGCGGGGGAUAACUAUUGGAAACGAUAGCUAAUACCGCAUAACAAUGGAUGACACAUGUCAUUUAUUUGAAAGGGGCAAUUGCUCCACUACAAGAUGGACCUGCGUUGUAUUAGCUAGUAGGUGAGGUAAUGGCUCACCUAGGCGACGAUACAUAGCCGACCUGAGAGGGUGAUCGGCCACACUGGGACUGAGACACGGCCCAGACUCCUACGGGAGGCAGCAGUAGGGAAUCUUCGGCAAUGGGGGCAACCCUGACCGAGCAACGCCGCGUGAGUGAAGAAGGGUUUCGGAUCGUAAAGCUCUGUUGUAAGUCAAGAACGGGUGUGAGAGUGGAAAGUUCACACUGUGACGGUAGCUUAACAGAAAGGGACGGCUAACUACGUG